RNAcentral lists this ribosomal RNA (460 nucleotides) under uncultured bacterium. RNAcentral's name for it is "partial 16S ribosomal RNA". It matches the Rfam family "Bacterial small subunit ribosomal RNA", at positions 338 to 795 of the family's 1533-position model. The record is from RNAcentral.
CCUACGGGAGGCAGCAGUGAGGAAUAUUGGUCAAUGGCCGUAAGGCUGAACCAGCCAAGUAGCGUGAGGGAAGACUGCCCUAUGGGUUGUAAACCUCUUUUAUGCGGGGAUAAAGGUGUCCACGUGUGGCUGUUUGCAGGUACCGCAUGAAUAAGGACCGGCUAAUUCCGUGCCAGCAGCCGCGGUAAUACGGGAGGUCCGGGCGUUAUCCGGCUUUAUUGGGUUUAAAGGGAGCGUAGGCCGGUCUUUAAGCGUGCCGUGAAAUUUUGUGGCUCAACCAUGAGAGUGCGGCGCGAACUGGAGACCUUGAGUGCGCGGAAGGCAGGCGGAAUUCGUGGUGUAGCGGUGAAAUGCUUAGAUAUCACGAAGAACCCCGAUUGCGAAGGCAGCCUGCCGCAGCGUUACUGACGCUGAAGCUCGAAAGCGCGGGUAUCGAACAGGAUUAGAUACCCGGGUAGUC